GCCUUGUGGUGUAUAAGCACAUAAAAUUGCAAAUUUUAAAGAGCAAAAUGACUCUGCCGGGGCUU
RNAcentral lists this transfer RNA (65 nucleotides) under Desmognathus fuscus (dusky salamander). RNAcentral describes it as "tRNA-Cys". The record is from RNAcentral. Lineage: Eukaryota; Metazoa; Chordata; Amphibia; Caudata; Plethodontidae.